GUCGACGAUUACUCCUACGGGAGGCAGCAGUAGGGAAUAUUGGGCAAUGGAGGAAACUCUGACCCAGCCAUGCCGCGUGAAGGAUGAAGGUCCUACGGAUUGUAAACUUCUUUUAUUAGGGAAGAAACGUCUCGAUUCAUCGGGAUUUGACGGUACCUAAGGAAUAAGCACCGGCUAACUCCGUGCCAGCAGCCGCGGUAAUAAUCUCUAGA
RNAcentral lists this ribosomal RNA (212 nucleotides) under uncultured bacterium. RNAcentral's name for it is "partial 16S ribosomal RNA". It matches the Rfam family "Bacterial small subunit ribosomal RNA", at positions 325 to 531 of the family's 1533-position model. The record is from RNAcentral.